RNAcentral lists this ribosomal RNA (297 nucleotides) under uncultured bacterium. RNAcentral describes it as "partial 16S ribosomal RNA". It matches the Rfam family "Bacterial small subunit ribosomal RNA", at positions 28 to 326 of the family's 1533-position model. The record is from RNAcentral.
GAUAAACGCUGGCGGCGUGCCUAACACAUGCAAGUCGAACGUCCUCUCUCGCAAGAGAGAGGGAGUGGCGGACGGGUGAGUAACACAUGGGUCACCUACCCUUAAGUGAGGAAUACCGGCGAGAAAUCGCCGACAAGACCGCAUAGGCUCUCUCUUUUGCAAGAGAGAGCAAAAGCUUCGCAAGAGGCGCUUGAGGAUGGGCCUGUGGCCGAUUAGCUGGUUGGAGGGUAAUGGCUUACCAAGGCGACGAUCGGUAGCUGGUCUGAGAGGACGAUCAGCCACACUGGGAUUGAGAAC